RNAcentral lists this ribosomal RNA (472 nucleotides) under Klebsiella pneumoniae. RNAcentral's name for it is "bacterial SSU rRNA". It matches the Rfam family "Bacterial small subunit ribosomal RNA", at positions 1 to 471 of the family's 1533-position model. Lineage: Bacteria; Pseudomonadati; Pseudomonadota; Gammaproteobacteria; Enterobacterales; Enterobacteriaceae. The record is from RNAcentral.
AAAUUGAAGAGUUUGAUCAUGGCUCAGAUUGAACGCUGGCGGCAGGCCUAACACAUGCAAGUCGAGCGGUAGCACAGAGAGCGUGCUCUCGGGUGACGAGCGGCGGACGGGUGAGUAAUGUCUGGGAAACUGCCUGAUGGAGGGGGAUAACUACUGGAAACGGUAGCUAAUACCGCAUAACGUCGCAAGACCAAAGUGGGGGACCUUCGGGCCUCAUGCCAUCAGAUGUGCCCAGAUGGGAUUAGCUAGUAGGUGAGGUAACGGCUCACCUAGGCGACGAUCCCUAGCUGGUCUGAGAGGAUGACCAGCCACACUGGAACUGAGACACGGUCCAGACUCCUACGGGAGGCAGCAGUGGGGAAUAUUGCACAAUGGGCGCAAGCCUGAUGCAGCCAUGCCGCGUGUGUGAAGAAGGCCUUCGGGUUGUAAAGCACUUUCAGCGGGGAGGAAGGCGUUAAGGUUAAUAACCUUG